RNAcentral lists this ribosomal RNA (429 nucleotides) under Actinomycetes bacterium. RNAcentral describes it as "Actinobacteria bacterium partial 16S ribosomal RNA". It matches the Rfam family "Bacterial small subunit ribosomal RNA", at positions 355 to 776 of the family's 1533-position model. The record is from RNAcentral. Lineage: Bacteria; Bacillati; Actinomycetota; Actinomycetes.
UAGGUAAUCUUCCGCAAUGGGCGAAAGCCUGACGGAGCAACGCCGCGUGAGUGAUGAAGGUCUUCGGAUCGUAAAACUCUGUUAUUAGGGAAGAACAAAUGUGUAAGUAACUAUGCACGUCUUGACGGUACCUAAUCAGAAAGCCACGGCUAACUACGUGCCAGCAGCCGUGGUAAUACGUAGGUGGCAAGCGUUAUCCGGAAUUAGUGGUCGUAAAUCGCGCGUAGGCGGUUUUUUAAGUCUGAUGUGGAAGCCCACGGCUCAACCGUGGAGGGUCAUUGGAAACUGGGUAACUUGAGUGCAGAAGAGGAAAGUGGUAUUCCAUGUGUGGCGGUGAAAUGCGCAGAGAUAUGGAGGAACACCAGUGGCGAAGGCGACUUUCUGGUCUGUAACUGACGCUGAUGUGCGAAAGCGUGGGGAUCAAACAGG